This 244-nucleotide ribosomal RNA is filed under the name uncultured bacterium. RNAcentral's name for it is "partial small subunit ribosomal RNA". It matches the Rfam family "Bacterial small subunit ribosomal RNA", at positions 26 to 285 of the family's 1533-position model. The record is from RNAcentral.
AGAAUCAACGCUGGCGGCGUGCCUAACACAUGCAAGUCGAACGAGAAAGUGGAGCAAUCCAUGAGUAAAGUGGCGACCGGGUGAGUAACACGUGACUAACCUACCUUCGAGUGGGGGAUAACCUCGGGAAACCGGGGCUAAUACCGCAUAAUAUCCACGGAUCAAAGGAGCAAUUCGCUUGAAGAGGGGUCGCGGCUGAUUAGUUAGUUGGCGGGGUAAUGGCCCACCAAGGCGAUGAUCGGUA